AUUGUGUCCAAUUUGUAUUGUCUUUCUCAAUGUAGGCUCUUCUUCAACCUUCUUCAUAUGAACUUUGGAGUGUAAUGGCAGUUGUGUUGCCAUCGGAUUUACCUUCUUUGCUAUAGUCUUAUAAUUAAUAUUCAUCAUUCUUUCAAUCUCUAAGCCAUAACUUCCAAUCAACCUUACUUCAAUAGUUAUCUUUAAUAUCUUUUCAUAUAAGCUUCUUA
This 218-nucleotide long non-coding RNA is filed under the name Physcomitrium patens. RNAcentral's name for it is "long non-coding RNA (PPAT_LNC013863)". Lineage: Eukaryota; Viridiplantae; Streptophyta; Bryopsida; Funariales; Funariaceae. The record is from RNAcentral.